AAUUACAUGUGAUUUCUUAUGAAAUGAAAUUGAUCUAUAGCAUUAAUUAAACUUAGAAAUUGUUUAUAUUUAAUCAGUUUUCACAGAGUGCACAAUAUUGUACAAAAUUAUUAAAAGGAAAUUAUAUGAGUUGUUUCUAGUUAUAUAAGUAUGGUGUAAAAAUCUAUUGACUUUUGAGGAACAUAUUUAUUAAAAAAUUAAUACUAGUAUUAAAGGGUUUUAGCAGGAAAACUUCUGAAAUAUAACGUAGAGUUAUAAAAUAAAAAUCUUGGGAGCUAGAGGUAUAGCAUAGUGGUAGACUACUUGCCUAUUAUGUGCAAGGCCCUUGGUUCAAUUUCUAGAAUUCUUAGCAAUGUGUGUGCAUACAUACACACACACACACACACACACACACACACACACACACGGAUAAAAUCUUGAAUGAUAUUAGGAACAAGAUAAAGAAAAUAAAUAUUCUUUUAUCUACAACGAUUCAAAGUUUUGGUUCAAAUGCAUUACUAUUUACUACUAAUUACUUGAAUCAAAGCAAAAUUAAUCUCUGUUUCAUCUGUAGUUAAAAACACCUGUGUAGCUUUUACAAAUUCAAAGAUAGAGAUAUAUAGGAUUCUGUUUCCUACCUAUUCCAUUAUUGCAGGAUUCCCUAGAAAAGCUCCAGACUUACAAAAGCAGCUGCUUGUAUUUAACGAUAAUCCUCUGUACUAUUAGUUUUGUCUUUUGGGAUAGGAAAUUGAUUACCUGACCUUAACAUAGGGAAGACUUUGUGUGUGCCUUACUUUCUGCCUCAGAGAGUAAAUCAGUUAUGUAAACACUGAAAAAUAAUUAAGAGUACAGUGAUGUUUUAGUUUGAUCAGGAAAACUGACAGAAAAUGAAAAAAAUAUUUUCUUUAUUUUUAUCUCCCCUAGAAAGUAAUAAUUUAAAUUUCUGCUGUUUUAACUUAUGCAUUUUAUGAUGAGUUGUGUUUUUGUUUUUUUAAUAAACACAUUUAUAAGCUUUUUAGCAGAGAGAGCUCGUGGGGGAAAGGGUAAC
RNAcentral lists this long non-coding RNA (1027 nucleotides) under Marmota monax (woodchuck). The record is from RNAcentral. Lineage: Eukaryota; Metazoa; Chordata; Mammalia; Rodentia; Sciuridae.